RNAcentral lists this ribosomal RNA (702 nucleotides) under Triticum aestivum (bread wheat). RNAcentral's name for it is "partial small subunit ribosomal RNA". The record is from RNAcentral. Lineage: Eukaryota; Viridiplantae; Streptophyta; Magnoliopsida; Poales; Poaceae.
AUGGAUCCCGGCGGCGGCGGCGGCGCCAGCGCCGCCAACCUCCCUGUGGACAUGCUAGCCAACAUCCACGGCCGCCUGAGCCUCCUAGACCGGCUCUCUUUCGCCGCAGCCUCCCACUCCUCGCGCGGCGCAUUCCGGCCGGAGGUGCCGUGCCUCGUCCUUCCCGCCGACCCGUGGAGUCUGGGACCCUCGCCUGACGGUGUCGAGGAUGCUGUCCACCACGAGGGCAGGUUCUACUCGAUCACAUGCUUGGGCAAGAUGGAGGAGUGGCGGCAGCAGGAUGCCGACACCAUGUUCGCGAGCACGGUGGUCGAGCCAGCGCUUCAGCUGGCGCCGGCCGACACGCACAACUGCAAGUACCUCGUGGUGACGCCGGGCGGACGGCUGAUGGUCAUGCUCAAGACCAAGGAGACCACGGGUUGGCGGACACCAUUGUCCUUCAAGGUGCAGGUCCUCGGCGCGGGCGCCAAGGAGUGGAUGGAGACGGACGACAUUGGCGACGCCGCGCUGUUCGUCGGGGCGAAGGGUUCGUUGUGUGUGUCGACGAGGGAGCACCCGGAGCUCAGGGCCGGCUGUGUCUACUAUGCCGCCCACGGCGGCGUCGUGGUGUUGAGCCUCAAGGGCGGCACGGUGAAGGAGGUCGAUGGCCUCUGGACGGACCACAGCUGGCUGGAGUGGUUCACGCCGUGCAUUUCACGAUAG